This 5331-nucleotide long non-coding RNA is filed under the name Theobroma cacao (cacao). RNAcentral's name for it is "long non-coding RNA (TCAC_LNC005499)". The record is from RNAcentral. Lineage: Eukaryota; Viridiplantae; Streptophyta; Magnoliopsida; Malvales; Malvaceae.
UUAGCACAAAACCAGCCCAUUUCUCAUUCUUAUGGCCGGCCAAAGCAAGAACAAAGGAAGAAAAGGAAGAACAAAACCCUAGGUGAAAAAAUUCAAGGGAAAAGUGUGAAAACUCAAGGAAACAAGUGAAAAAAAAGGUAAGAUUUUUCAAUUAAGCUUGAGAUCUCUCUUUCUUAAGUAUUUUUUCUUAUUUUCCAUGGUUGAAUCACAUGAUUUCAUGAUGAAUCCCAUGCUGGCUGAACACUUAGAGGGAGGUUUUGAUGCUUGAUUUGGUUAGAUUUCAAUGUAUUUUACUGUUUUUAGUUAGUUAGUUAUGUGUAGCAUGAAAAGCCAACAAGAAAAAUUCAUUUUCUCCCAUCACCCAUCAUUGGCCGAAUUCUCCAUGUGGAAUAUUGAUGAUGAUUUUGAUUUUAUUUCAAGUGAUUUGGUUAGGAAUUAGUGAUUUAUGGUGUGAGAAUCAAGCUUGAAAAAUUAUAGUGUUGAUGCACCCACCAUGGCCGAAUUUUCCAAGAGAAAAUGUGAGGAUGAUUUUGCCAUAUUUCAAGUUAUUUAAUUUGUGUUUGAUGAUUUGGAGUAUUGGGAGAAAAAUGGAAUUAUUUGGAGUUGAAUUGGACAUAUUGGCCAAUUAAUCGAGUGAUAGAUCGAAUUAGGCCAAUACUGUUUUAUUUAGGUACAUAAUUGAACUUAUAUUGAACAUCGUAUUUAGAUAGUUGCCCGAGUAUUUCACAUCCCAUUUCAUGCAUUAGUAUAAAGCCUGAAUUGGUUUUACAACGGUUUAGCACAAAUGUAGUAAAUAGCUUAUUGUGUAUUAUGUCUAGGUGGUGAGCUUUCUGACAAAAGUAAAGAGAUAGUACUCGAGGAUCAAGAAUAGGAGUACUCGAAAUUCAACUCCCGAAAUAGUGAGUAACCUUAUUAUCGUCUUAAUUAUCUAAAGUAGUUUUUAUUCGUUUUUGUGAUUUGAUAGAAAAAUGAGUUUAAAUAGUAAAUCUUUAUGUUUUAUAAACAAAAUGUGAUUAAAUGAAAUGAUUUUAUAAAAUUGACUGGAAAUUGAAAGAUGGUUUUGAAAAUGGAGUAAUUAGAGACUAAUUGUUGUGUUAUAAAUCAUGGUUUGAAUUGAAUGGCUUAUGAUAAUAUUGACAUGAAUGGUUGGAUUUGGUAAAUGUGCUGAAAAAGUAUGAACUGUUGAUUUGCCUUGAGAGGCUAUAAAAUAAAAUAAUUGCCAUGUCAUGCUGUUGAAUUUUAUUGAAUUGGUGGAUUAUAAUUGGUCGCUGUAGUGGACAGGUUCCGUGAACCAACCUAUUAGAGGGGCACGGUAACCCUAUUAUAUUCUUACCUCAGUAUAAGAGCCGCGGAUGGAUAACUCUUGAGGUUAACACUUUAGAGUUCACUUCACGCUAAACCACCACGUGAGGGUGAACUCAACCAAUGCCAAGGAAUGGCUAUAUUUUCAAAAUAAAAACAUGAUUUAUGCAUACAUGACUUUUUAAUAGCCUUGGCGGACUCAAUUGGGAUAGCCCUCGGUCAAGGUAUCCCUGAUAACUGAGUAUGAGAAUGAUUUUGGCACGAGCCAAACUUUUCAGGAAAUCAUAAGCCUCGUUGUUUAUUUUGGUGAAAUGAAUCUAUUUUAUCUUAUUAAAAUGAGUUUGAAAUGCUGUGAAUCAUUUUUAUGCUAAUCUAUUUUAUCUGUCUCCAUUUACUUGGCUUUAGAUAAUUUAGAUGGUAUUUGUUUACUCACUGGGAUUAUAUAAUCUCACCACCCUCCUUUCCACCCAUUUCAGGCUCAAGAUAGUCGGUAGAUAGCUCACUUUGUUGAGGGCUACAGUUGAACUUGCAUCCUCAAAAACUGUAAGUUUAUCGCUUUUGAUACUUUUGGUUGUUCGUGGGCCCACGUGUCACUGUAAAUUAAAUUUUAUACUUUGGUUAUCUGUAUUACAAUAUGGAUGAAUUUAUUUAGCUUUUACGCUACAAAAAUUAUUUAUCGGUAACUCUAUAAAUAUUGUUUUAUAAGAAAAUAGAAUAUUUUAUUGAAUAUUUUUAUUAUAUUCAAAUAGUCAUAAUUUCAUUUUAAAUGAAGGUUUUAGACAUCUAAACUUAUUUUUGAUUAUGAAAUAUGUGUUUUCCAAUUGCAUACUACAUUUUUAGCUGGUUUCGAGAUUUUUGAGGAAAAAUUACCAAAAUACCUCUGUGUAGCUGAAAUUUCUCUUUGACUGUUUUUGAAUUGAAAUUGGUUCAUAUCACUUUAAAACAUGAUUUUAGUAACUAAUACUCACAAGGGAAGCAAGAAAACUGAUAUUAAAGCCUUGCGGGGUUCCAGUUGACAUUCCGGGUAAUGAGUGUCGAUCGGGACACUGCGACGGUUGUCACGGGCUCGAGGGGAGUACCGAGUCGUGAUAGAUUUAGAGUGUCCUUUGAUUCAACUAAGUGUGAAGUGAUUGAUAUGAGUACAAACAAAAUCUCAUUUAUAGGAAAUAGAUUGAAGAAUAUGUAUGUAAUCUUUCUUGAAGAAGUAAAUAGUGAAGUAUGUCUUGUUUCAAAUGCUAAAAAUGAUAGUUGGCUAUGGCAUAGGAGAUUAGGACAUGUGAGCAUGCAUACUAUGUCAAAAUUAAUUAAGAAAAAUCUUGUUGCUGGAUUGCCUGAGUUAAAAUUUGAAAAUGAUAGGAUAUGUAAUGUUUGCCAACUAGGGAAACAAGUUAGGACAUCCUUUAAGUCUAAGAAGAUUGUGUCAACAUCUAGACCUCUUGAAUUGCUUCAUAUUGAUCUAUUUGGUCCAAUAAGCACAACUAGCUUAAGUGGAAAAUCUUAUGGCUUUGUAAUAGUUGAUGACUAUUCUAGGUAUACUUGGGUGUAUUUUCUUACUCAUAAGAAUGAUGCUCUUCAAGCAUUCUUAAGUCAUUGUAAGAAAGUAGAAAAUGAAAAAGGACUAGCCAUAGUUAGCAUAAGAAGUGAUCAUGGAGGAGAAUUUAAAAAUGAUGAGUUUGAAAAAUUUUACAAUGAAAAGGGGUUGAAUCACAAUUUUUCUACACCUAGAACACCCUAGCAAAAUGGAGUUGUAGAGAGAAAAAAUCGAACCUUGAAGGAAAUGGCUAGGACCAUGCUAUGUGAAAACAACCUACCUAAAUAUCUUUGGGCCGAGGCAGUAAAUACAGUAGUUUAUAUUCUUAAUAGAGUCUCAGUAAGACCCGUGAUUUCAAAGACUCCAGAUGAACUUUAUAAAGGUAGGAAACCAAAUAUUUCUCACCUUAGGAGUUUUGGCUAUAAAUGCUUUGUAUUGAACAAUGAAAAAUAGCCCCUAGGGAAGUUUGAUGCAAAGAGUGAUGAGACAAUAUUUUUAGGAUAUGCAUUAAACUCAAAGGCCUAUAGAGUUUUUAACAAAAAGACCCUGACUGUUGAAGAAUCAAUUCAUGUAGUUUUUAAUGAGUCAAAUGCAUUGCAAAAAGAAGUUCAUGAUGAUGAUGAUGAUGAUGUAGAAGUCCUAGAAAAACAAAUGGAGGAAAUAAGCUUAGAAAACAACAAAAAUAAUGAAAAAAUCUCACCUAUAAGAGAAGAUGGAGCUCCACCUCUAGAAAAUCUACAAAAAGCAGAAAAUCAGCAUUAUGAUCUACCAAGGAGUUGGAGAUUUGUGAGAGAUCACCCACAAGACCAAAUAAUUGGUGAGAUUUCUCAAGGAGUUAAAACUAGGAAAGUAACUAGAGAAACUUGUGAGUUUUCAACUUUUAUAUCUCAAAUUGAACCUAAAAACUUUGAAAAAGCUGAAAAAGAGGAAAGUUGGAUAAUGGCCAUGCAAAAAGAACUUGAUCAAUUCACAAGGAGUCAUGUAUGGUCAUUGGUACCUAAACCUUCAAAUCACCCUAUUGUUGGUACAAAAUGGGUAUUUAGAAAUAAGUAGAUGAGCAAGGAAAUAUAGUUAGAAAUAAAGCUAGGUUUUUUUUUAUGCUGGAAAUUCACGCAGAGCCCAACUACCUUGUUAAAUUUUAUUAAUUACGAAAUAAAAAGUAUAAAGAAAGGGGACCUAAACCGUACCUCCAAGUUACAUGAUCAUGAGAAAGUUUCAGAUAAGCACCUAGAGUAAAGAGAACCAUUUUACGUGCAUAACUUUUGAUGCUAUAGUAAAACAGAUAUUCCCUACUAUUACAUUGAGUCAGUAAACUAAAAUAAAAUUUAAAACAAAAAAUGUAAAUAAGAAAAGCACCUAGAAUUGAGUGUUUCAUUUUAUGACCAUAAUUUUUACUAUCGUCAUAAAAUUGAAACACAUCCAUAUUACAAAAUUCUAUGUGACUAGCAAAAUAAAAAAAGUAAACUCGAAGUACUAUUCCUUUACAUUCAUUUAAAGUGAACAUAAGGUAAACUAACUUUAUCUAAUCUAAGAAUACCUCUAAGCUGACCUUCUACUUGUGAAAAUACUUGCAGGUUCUAGUGCGUAUGCUCUUGAUUUGAGAGAUGGUCUGCUAUCUGGUUCCCCUCUCGAUGGAUGUGUGAAAUCCGAAAAGAAAUACCACUCAAAGAUCUGCGAAUGGAAGCAAGCAAAUACCGAGUCCUAGAGAAUCCCUGAUGAACCUCAUUUAUCAUGUGAACCACUACUUUUGCAUCCAUUUCUAUCCAGAGUCUAGUAACAUUGUACUCAAUACACAAAAGUAAACCCCUGUGUAGUGCCAUUAACUCUGCCUGUAAUGAAUCAUACGGUCUAAAAUUUUCAAAAAAUCCCAAAAUCAUGGUACUUAUAUGGUCUCAAAGGAGUCCUUCCCUAGCAGCAUUCUGAAAAUUGUGCUUGAAACUGCCAUCAACAUUCAACUUAAACUCACCUACCGAUGGUUUAUGCCAAGAGAAUAUUUUUGGAGGAUGUGGGACUACCUGCUAAAAUGUUAAACCCCAUGCCUGAGUAAUUUGCAGGUCUCCCCUCCAUUGCCACCGGUGGAAUUGCCUUUCAUGAAAUAAUUGGUGGAUGAGUUUGAGUACUCUCCACACAACUCUGUUAGGAUAUAUACCAAGGUCCCUAUGCUUCGCAUCAUUCCUUUCAACCCAUAAGAACCAAAAAAUGAAUAAAGGCAUUAACAUGCAUAUGUGUCCUUUUUUCAUGUAAUCACCAGAGUACAACCAUGCCCAUAAAAUUUGAUAAACAGUCUGGGGAUGAGCAAUGUUGAUUUGGAAAAUUUUCGCAAAAUAAUUCUAAACCUAUGCAGCUAUUGGGCAUUCCCACAUGACAUGCAAGAAAGACUCCUUGGAGUUACAGUGUUGGCAUUUAGAAGCUAACUAGAAUCCCUUGGUUUUCAAUCGCAAAUCAACUGGGAUCCAAUCCUGUAAUAACCUCCAUAGAAAGAAAAAAGUGGUAAAAGG